UGGUGGAGUGAUUUGUCUGGUUAAUUCCGUUAACGAACGAGACCUCGACCUGCUAAAUAGUUGGACAAAGGAAUCCUCCUUUGGAUACAGCUUCUUAGAGGGACUAUCGGUGUGUAGCCGACGGAAGUUCGAGGCAAUAACA
Molecule: ribosomal RNA, 142 nt
Filed under: uncultured eukaryote
Lineage: Eukaryota
Description: partial 18S ribosomal RNA
Rfam family: Eukaryotic small subunit ribosomal RNA
Source: RNAcentral